RNAcentral lists this ribosomal RNA (301 nucleotides) under uncultured bacterium. RNAcentral describes it as "partial 16S ribosomal RNA". It matches the Rfam family "Bacterial small subunit ribosomal RNA", at positions 509 to 807 of the family's 1533-position model. The record is from RNAcentral.
CAGCAGCCGCGGGAAUACGUAGGGUGCAAGCGUUAAUCGGAAUUACUGGGCGUAAAGCGUGCGCAGGCGGUUAUAUAAGUCAGAUGUGAAAUCCCCGGGCUCAGCCUGGGAACUGCAUUUGAGACUGUAUGGCUAGAGUGUGUCAGAGGGGGGUAGAAUUCCACGUGUAGCAGUGAAAUGCGUAGAUAUGUGGAGGAAUACCGAUGGCGAAGGCAGCCCCCUGGGAUAACACUGACGCUCAUGCACGAAAGCGUGGGGAGCAAACAGGAUUAGAUACCCCAGUAGUCCCUGUCUCUUAUAC